GAUGAACGCUGGCGGCGUGCUUAACACAUGCAAGUCGAACGGAAAGGCCCUGCUUGCAGGGUACUCGAGUGGCGAACGGGUGAGUAACACGUGGGCGAUCUGCCCUGUACUUUGGGAUAAGCCUGGGAAACUGGGUCUAAUACCGAAUAUGACAAUUGUUUGGAUGCGAUUGUGGAAAGCUUUUGCGGUAUGGGAUGAGCUCGCGGCCUAUCAGCUUGUUGGUGGGGUAAUGGCCUACCAAGGCGUCGACGGGUAGCCGGCCUGAGAGGGUGUACGGCCACAUUGGGACUGAGAUACGGCCCAGACUCCUACGGGAGGCAGCAGUGGGGAAUAUUGCACAAUGGGCGCAAGCCUGAUGCAGCGACGCCGCGUGGGGGAUGACGGCCUUCGGGUUGUAAACUCCUUUCGCAACCGACGAAGCCUUUUGGUGACGGUAGGUGGAGAAGAAGCACCGGCUAACUACGUG
Molecule: ribosomal RNA, 466 nt
Filed under: uncultured bacterium
Lineage: Bacteria
Description: partial 16S ribosomal RNA
Rfam family: Bacterial small subunit ribosomal RNA
Source: RNAcentral